AGAGUGAACGCUGGCGGCAGGCCUAAUACAUGCAAGUCGAACGGCAGCACGGCAGAGCUUGCUCUGUGGGUGGCGAGUGGCGGACGGGUGAGGAAUACAUGGGAAUCUGCCCAGUCGUGGGGGAUAACGUAGGGAAACUUACGCUAAUACCGCAUGCGCCCGUUCGGGGGAAAGCCGGGGACCUUCGGGCCUGGCGCGAUUGGAUGAGCCCAUGUCGGAUUAGCUAGUUGGCGGGGUAACCGCCCACCAAGGCGACGAUCCGUAGCUGGUCUGAGAGGAUGAUCAGCCACACUGGAACUGAGACGACGGUCCAGACCUCCGACGGGAGCAGCAGUAGGAAUAGUUGGACAAGUGGGCGACGAACGCCUGACUCCGAGCCC
This 380-nucleotide ribosomal RNA is filed under the name uncultured soil bacterium. RNAcentral's name for it is "bacterial SSU rRNA". It matches the Rfam family "Bacterial small subunit ribosomal RNA", at positions 26 to 394 of the family's 1533-position model. The record is from RNAcentral.